Molecule: ribosomal RNA, 500 nt
Filed under: uncultured bacterium
Lineage: Bacteria
Description: partial 16S ribosomal RNA
Rfam family: Bacterial small subunit ribosomal RNA
Source: RNAcentral
ACUGAACGCUGGCGGCAUGCUUUACACAUGCAAGUCGAACGGUAACAGGGUGCUUGCACCGCUGACGAGUGGCGAACGGGUGAGUAAUACAUCGGAAUGUACCCAGUAAUGGGGGAUAACGCUUCGAAAGGAGUGCUAAUACCGCAUACGCCCUGAGGGGGAAAGUGGGGGACCGCAAGGCCGCACGGUAUUGGAGCAGCCGAUGGCUGAUUAGCUAGUUGGUGAGGUAAAGGCUCACCAAGGCGACGAUCAGUAGCGGGUCUUAGAGGACGCUCCGCCACCCGGGAACUGAGACACGGUCCAGACUCCUACGGGGUGCAGCAGUGGGGAAUCUUGGACAAUGGUCGAAAGCCUGAUCCAGCAAUGCCGCGUGCGUGAAGAAGGCCUUCGGGUUGUAAAGCGCUUUUGUCUGGGAGCAAAUCCUGGCCUCUAAUACAGGUCGGGGAUGAGAGUACCAGAAGAAUAAGGACCGGCUAACUACGUGCCAGCCGCCGCGGUAA